GACGAACCGUGCGAACGUUGUUCGGAAUCACUGGGCUUAAAGGGCGCGUAGGCGGCUUGCCAAGUCAGGGGUGAAAUCUUUCGGCUCAACCGGAAAAGUGCCCUUGAUACUGGCGAGCUCGAGGGAGGUAGGGGUGUGUGGAACUUCUGGUGGAGCGGUGAAAUGCGUUGAUAUCAGAAGGAACGCCGGUGGCGAAAGCGACGCACUGGACCUCUUCUGACGCUGAGGCGCGAAAGCUAGGGGAGCAAACGGG
RNAcentral lists this ribosomal RNA (253 nucleotides) under uncultured bacterium. RNAcentral's name for it is "partial 16S ribosomal RNA". It matches the Rfam family "Bacterial small subunit ribosomal RNA", at positions 524 to 776 of the family's 1533-position model. The record is from RNAcentral.